UUGAGUUCUCGCCUUAUUAAUAAGUAUUUUUCUCUAAAUACUUUAUCUCUAUUUUCUGAGUUAGUUCGAAGUUCGUAUAAUAUUUUUGGAGGGAGUGUAUAAUAUUUUUGGAGGGAGUGUGGGGGAUUAGAUUAUCAGAAUAAACAGUCAUUGGGUGACUAUUCAGAAUGGUGCGUUCUCUAUAUUAACCUGGAAAAUGUAAUGGGGGAUUAGAUUAUCAGAAUAAACAGUCAUUGGGUGACUAUUCAGAAUGG
RNAcentral lists this long non-coding RNA (254 nucleotides) under Brassica napus (rape). RNAcentral's name for it is "long non-coding RNA (BNAP_LNC013513)". Lineage: Eukaryota; Viridiplantae; Streptophyta; Magnoliopsida; Brassicales; Brassicaceae. The record is from RNAcentral.